UAAAAAGUCGUAACAGGGUUUCCGUAGGUGAACCUGCGGAUGGAUCAUUAA
RNAcentral lists this ribosomal RNA (51 nucleotides) under Cookeina speciosa. RNAcentral's name for it is "partial 18S ribosomal RNA". It matches the Rfam family "Eukaryotic small subunit ribosomal RNA", at positions 1782 to 1831 of the family's 1831-position model. Lineage: Eukaryota; Fungi; Ascomycota; Pezizomycetes; Pezizales; Sarcoscyphaceae. The record is from RNAcentral.